GAUGAACGCUGACAGCAUGCUUAACACAUGCAAGUCGAUGGGGAAGUGGUGCUUGCACCCUGGUAACCAUGGCGGACGGGUGAGUAACGCGUAAGGAACUUGCCUGCUGGACUGGGAUAACAGCAGUAAACUGCUGAUAAUACCGGAUAAGGUCAUUAAGCUGCAUAGCUUAGUGAUGAAAGGAGACGCCUGCGGAGAGCCUUGCGUCCUAUUAGCUAGUUGGAGGGGUAACGGCCCACCAAGGCGAAGAUAGGUAGCCGGCCUGAGAGGGUGGACGGCCACAAGGGGACUGAGAGACGGCCCUUACGCCUACGGGAGGAAGCAGUGGGGAAUAUUGGACAAUGGGGGCAACCCUGAUCAAGCAAUUCUGUGUGCACGAAGACGGUUUUCGGAUUGUAAAGUGGUUUCAGAAGGGAAGAAGGAAGUGACGGUACCUGCAGAAGAAGCGACGGCUAAAUACGUG
This 463-nucleotide ribosomal RNA is filed under the name uncultured bacterium. RNAcentral describes it as "partial 16S ribosomal RNA". It matches the Rfam family "Bacterial small subunit ribosomal RNA", at positions 28 to 507 of the family's 1533-position model. The record is from RNAcentral.